GACGAACGCUGGCGGCGUGCCUAACACAUGCAAGUCGAACGGAGUCGAGGAGCUUGCUCCUUAACUUAGUGGCGGACGGGUGAGUAACGCGUGAGUAACCUGCCUCUGAGAGGGGAAUAACGUUCUGAAAAGGACGCUAAUACCGCAUAACACAUAUUUGCCGCAUGACAGAUAUGUCAAAGAUUUUAUCGCUCGGAGAUGGACUCGCGUCCGAUUAGUUAGUUGGUGAGGUAACGGCUCACCAAGACCGCGAUCGGUAGCCGGACUGAGAGGUUGAUCGGCCACAUUGGGACUGAGACACGGCCCAGACUCCUACGGGAGGCAGCAGUGGGGAAUAUUGCGCAAUGGGGGCAACCCUGACGCAGCAACGCCGCGUGAAGGAUGAAGGUCUUCGGAUCGUAAACUUUUGUCUUAUGGAAGAACAAGGACGGUACCAUAGGAGAAAAAGCAAACGGCUAAACUACGUAG
RNAcentral lists this ribosomal RNA (468 nucleotides) under uncultured bacterium. RNAcentral describes it as "bacterial SSU rRNA". It matches the Rfam family "Bacterial small subunit ribosomal RNA", at positions 28 to 508 of the family's 1533-position model. The record is from RNAcentral.